Molecule: long non-coding RNA, 1211 nt
Organism: Fukomys damarensis (Damara mole-rat)
Lineage: Eukaryota; Metazoa; Chordata; Mammalia; Rodentia; Bathyergidae
Exons: 4
Source: RefSeq, a predicted model, not a curated record
CACAAGUGCUUUCAUAGCUACGGCCCCAGAGUACUGCUCAGCUAUUUGCUUUUGAAGAGACAACACAAAUAUUUAAGUGAUGUUUUAUCAACAGGAGGGAACAAAGUUGUGUUAGCACAUUUGCACGCCCUCUUCUCAGUGCUCACCAAGGAGGCCAAUUAAGCCUUUUUCUUCCCAAAUGAUCUGCACAGAAUCGGAGAAACAAUAAUUAUUUGAUAAUGCUGUGCUUAUCUUGCUCACUGACACUCUGUUCCCAUCCCUACCUAAAGAUUUCUCCUAAAGGAUGCUCAACAAGUGACAGCGAGCACACAAACCACAGGAUGACAUGGAAUAUUUCCAAGAAUCGGUCUGAAUAGAUGGACUGCCGUGAGGACCAAUGCAAGCAUGGAAGUGAACAUGCUCCACACACUGCCUCUGCAAGCAAGUCUACAAAUAACCACUGCCUCUGCCCAUUUUUUAUCACUUUUGAUCAGUAUUUCCUAACAGGUCCUGUGUUCACCAAAUGAGCAUCCACACAACCAUCAGAGCAGCUUUUCCAAAUCAGAAAUCUGAUAUUUUAGAGAGUGAUUAGAUCUUACCGUGGCUCACAGAACAAAGCCACUUCACAAGGUUCUCUUCCAUUCACUGUUCUCUAUCUGCUUCAUCUUCUAUGCUUCUACUUCUAGGUGCUUCCUGAGCUUUACACGCCCAUCUGUGCCAUGCCUUUCUGAUCACCUAGAGCCUCACCUAACAACUUCUUGUUAUUCAGUACUACCAUAAGCAUCUCCAACACCAACAAAUUGUCUCUGAAUGCUAGUUGAACUUAGCCCCUCUUCUAUUGCUACAGUACUUUACUUUAUAUAUAAGUACAUUUUUGAACUUUUAUAUUUUAUGUAUAGAACAUAAUUAUGCUUCUUAUAACAUUAUAGUAUAAUCAUUAUUUCUAUGUCCAUUUCCCUACCAGACACUGGGUUCACUGACCACUAAUCUGAGGGAUUAUAUAACCUUAUGCAUCCAGAACCCAAAAAGUACAACCAUUUUAACUCUAGCUCAUCAGGAUGAAUCACAUAUUAAACUGAACAUAGUAUAAUAAAAUCAUACCCCACAAGUAAUAUAUAACUUUUGCAUAAUUUUUAUAAUUUUGUUUUUAAAUUUAUUUAGCUCCUAAUAACCGGUUCAGUUCUCAAAUACCUAUGAUUUCCACUGGAUUAUUAAGCAGAUUCAAAAUUCUC